Mustela lutreola (European mink) is the source of this 1129-nucleotide long non-coding RNA. RefSeq lists it as uncharacterized. The record is from RefSeq and is a predicted model, not a curated record. The transcript is spliced from 4 exons. Lineage: Eukaryota; Metazoa; Chordata; Mammalia; Carnivora; Mustelidae.
CCUGCGGGGGAGUCGGCUCCCAACCCGGAGGACUCCGGCCCGCCGACCCGCCUGCGCCCUCUUUCCGCCCCCGGAAUCCGACGCAGUCUCCCCGCGGAGCCUCCCCCGUGCGGCGCCCGAUCCGGACGCGGCGGAACGGAGCUGUCCGUGGUCCCCGCCUGGGCGAGGGGACGGAGCCCCUGUCCCGCGUGCUGGAGCGCAGCCCGGGAGCCGGUGCCAUCACGGGGCGCGGAGGUAAUGUCCUUGGAUGGACAACGGAUUCAUUCUACUGUCACUCGUGAUAGGCAGACGUCAGGCCACCUCCUUACCAACUCCUGUCCUUGCUGCGCGCUCCGAGACUGGGAGGGCCCCAAGGGCAGGAGCAUAUGAAGGCGAGGCCCACCCAAAGCCACAGAGAGGAGCCUGGGAGCACUCCCUCUUGGAUGGUGCCUGAGCCCCUGCACCCUGACGGAUCUGCUCUCCCCUGCUAGAACCUGUGACCUGGCAGAGCUUCUGACCACAACCUCACAUCUCCUGAUGGGGCGGCCAUCGAGCACUGGAGCUGGGUCCCUCCUCCCAGACUGGGAUAUCCUGACUCAGUUUCCCCACGGAACUCCCCCUUGUCCAGAGCUGGGACAGAGGGGACAGCAGUCCGUUUCUCCCGAGAGUGAGAACACCUUGACCACAGGAGGCCCUGUCCAGUCCAGCCACGCUGGCCCUGUACUCCUCUGGGUGCCCCCAUCAGUCCAACUUCCCCUUCUACGUGGAAGAGAAAAGCCCCUUCCUGUCUGAUUUGAGAUGCUUGUACCUCUUGGAUCAGUUUAUUGUCACCUGAGUCAAGUUUCUCCUUAUACCAAAUCCAGAUCUGUUCGCUAUUAGACAGACAUGCAUUUACCUUUGGAACCCACUGCCUCUGGAGAGCUUGGUGCUCCUGGGAGUUGGAACUAUUUAAGAAGCAAAUUUCGGGGCGCCUGGGUGGCUCAGUAGGUUAAGUGUCUGCCUUCAGCUCAGGUCAUGAUCCCAGGGUCCUGGGAUGGAGCCCCACAACAGGCUCCUUGCUCGGCGGGGAGCCUGCUUCUCCUUCUGCCUGCUGCUCCCCCUGCUUGUGCUCUAUCACUCUCUCUGACAAAUAAAUAAAAUCUUUUAAAAA